UGGUGGAGUGAUUUGUCUGGUUAAUUCCGUUAACGAACGAGACCUCGACCUGCUAAAUAGUCGAGCGAAUACAAUUUUUGUAUUCGUGUUCCCUUUCUCGGCUUCUUAGAGGGACUGUUUGUGUCGAGCAAAAGUAAGAUCGAGGCAAUAACA
RNAcentral lists this ribosomal RNA (153 nucleotides) under uncultured eukaryote. RNAcentral's name for it is "partial 18S ribosomal RNA". It matches the Rfam family "Eukaryotic small subunit ribosomal RNA", at positions 1299 to 1458 of the family's 1831-position model. The record is from RNAcentral.